AUACGUAGGGAGCGAGCGUUAUCCGGAUUUACUGGGUGUAAAGGGUGCGUAGGCGGUCAUGGUAAGUCAGAAGUGAAAUUUUGGGGCUCAACCCCAGAGCUGCUUCUGAAACUGCUGUGCUAGAGUGUGGGAGAGGAAAGUGGAAUUCCGAGUGUAGCGGUGAAAUGCGUAGAGAUUCGGAGGAACACCAGUAGCGAAGGCGGCUUUCUGGACCAUAACUGACGCUGAGGCACGAAAGCGUGGGGAGC
This 248-nucleotide ribosomal RNA is filed under the name uncultured bacterium. Its description in RNAcentral is "partial 16S ribosomal RNA". It matches the Rfam family "Bacterial small subunit ribosomal RNA", at positions 523 to 769 of the family's 1533-position model. The record is from RNAcentral.